This 468-nucleotide ribosomal RNA is filed under the name uncultured bacterium. Its description in RNAcentral is "partial 16S ribosomal RNA". It matches the Rfam family "Bacterial small subunit ribosomal RNA", at positions 28 to 507 of the family's 1533-position model. The record is from RNAcentral.
GACGAACGCUGGCGGCGUGCUUAACACAUGCAAGUCGAACGGAAAGGCCCUGCUUUUGUGGGGUGCUCGAGUGGCGAACGGGUGAGUAACACGUGAGUAACCUGCCCUUGACUUUGGGAUAACUUCAGGAAACUGGGGCUAAUACCGGAUAGGAGCUCCUGCUGCAUGGUGGGGGUUGGAAAGUUUCGGCGGUUGGGGAUGGACUCGCGGCUUAUCAGCUUGUUGGUGGGGUAGUGGCUUACCAAGGCUUUGACGGGUAGCCGGCCUGAGAGGGUGACCGGCCACAUUGGGACUGAGAUACGGCCAAGACUCCUACGGGAGGCAGCAGUGGGGAAUAUUGCACAAUGGGCGGAAGCCUGAGGCAGAAACGCCGCGUGCGGGAUGACGGCCUUCGGGUUGUAAACCGCUUUCGCCUGUGACGAAGCGUGAGUGACGGUAAUGGGUAAAGAAGCACCGGCUAACUACGUG